This 1645-nucleotide ribosomal RNA is filed under the name Clostridium perfringens. Its description in RNAcentral is "partial 23S ribosomal RNA". It matches the Rfam family "Bacterial large subunit ribosomal RNA", at positions 1219 to 2874 of the family's 2925-position model. Lineage: Bacteria; Bacillati; Bacillota; Clostridia; Eubacteriales; Clostridiaceae. The record is from RNAcentral.
GUUCAAGCGGUAGGAGAGCGUCGUAACCGGGCUGAAGUCGUACCGUAAGGAGCGGUGGACUGGUUACGAGUGAGAAUGUUGGCAUCAGUAGCGAGAUGUGGGUGAGAAUCCCACAGGCCGAAAACCUAAGGUUUCCUCAGGAAGGUUCGUCCGCUGAGGGUUAGUCGGGACCUAAGCCGAGGCCGAAAGGCGUAGGUGAUGGACAACUGGUUGAUAUUCCAGUACCACUACCAUCGUUAUUAUCGAUGGCGUGACGCAGGAGGAUAGUGUGUGCUAGCUAUUGGAUGCUAGUCUAAGCGUUUAGGCAGUGAGAGUAGGCAAAUCCGCUCUCAUAAUGCUGAGGCGUGAUGGGGAAGGUUCUACGGAACCGAAGUACAUGAUUCCACGCUGCCAAGAAAAGCGUCUAGAGAGAGAAGUAGUGCCCGUACCGCAAACCGACACAGGUAGGUGAGGAGAGAAUCCUAAGGCCGGCGGAAGAAUUACAGUUAAGGAACUCGGCAAAUUGACCCCGUAAGUUCGCGAGAAGGGGUGCCUACGAGAGUAGGCCGCAGAGAAUAGGCCCAAGCAACUGUUUAGCAAAAACACAGGUCUCUGCUAAAGCGUAAGCUGAUGUAUAGGGGCUGACGCCUGCCCGGUGCUGGAAGGUUAAGGGGAACACUUAGCGCAAGCGAAGGUGUGAACUUAAGCCCCAGUAAACGGCGGCCGUAACUAUAACGGUCCUAAGGUAGCGAAAUUCCUUGUCAGGUAAGUUCUGACCCGCACGAAUGGCGUAAUGACUUGGGCACUGUCUCAACUGUAAAUCCGGCGAAGUUGUAGUGCGAGUGAAGAUGCUCGCUACCCGCGAUUGGACGGAAAGACCCCGUAGAGCUUUACUGUAGCUUAGCAUUGAGUUUUGGUAUUGUCUGUACAGGAUAGGUGGGAGACUAGGAAACCAGGGCGUCAGCCUUGGUGGAGUCAACCUUGGGAUACCACCCUGACAGUACUGAAAUUCUAACUGGCGGCCAUGAAUCUGGUCACAGGACAUUGUUAGGUGGGCAGUUUGACUGGGGCGGUCGCCUCCUAAAAAGUAACGGAGGCGCCCAAAGGUUCCCUCAGAACGGUCGGAAAUCGUUCGAAGAGUGCAAAGGCAGAAGGGAGCCUGACUGCGACACCCACAAGUGGAGCAGGGACGAAAGUCGGGCUUAGUGAUCCGGUGGUACCUCGUGGGAGGGCCAUCGCUCAACGGAUAAAAGCUACCUCGGGGAUAACAGGCUGAUCUCCCCCAAGAGUCCACAUCGACGGGGAGGUUUGGCACCUCGAUGUCGGCUCGUCGCAUCCUGGGGCUGAAGUAGGUCCCAAGGGUUGGGCUGUUCGCCCAUUAAAGCGGCACGCGAGCUGGGUUCAGAACGUCGUGAGACAGUUCGGUCCCUAUCCGUCGCGGGCGUAGGAAAUUUGAGAGGAGCUGUCCUUAGUACGAGAGGACCGGGAUGGACUGACCUCUGGUGUACCAGUUGUUCCGCCAGGAGCACAGCUGGGUAGCUAAGUCGGGAAUGGAUAAACGCUGAAAGCAUCUAAGCGUGAAGCCAACCUCAAGAUGAGAUUUCCCAUAGCGUAAGCUAGUAAGAUCCCUUGAAGAACACAAGGUUGAUAGGUCGGGGGUGUAAGC